Molecule: ribosomal RNA, 253 nt
Filed under: uncultured bacterium
Lineage: Bacteria
Description: partial 16S ribosomal RNA
Rfam family: Bacterial small subunit ribosomal RNA
Source: RNAcentral
UACAGAGGUGGCAAGCGUUGUUCGGAAUUACUGGGCGUAAAGGGCGCGUAGGCGGCCCGUCAAGUCCCGUGUGAAAGCCCCCGGCUCAACUGGGGAGGGUCAUUCGAUACUGAUCGACUCGAAGGCAGGAGAGGGUAGUGGAAUUCCCGGUGUAGUGGUGAAAUGCGUAGAUAUCGGGAGGAACACCAGUGGCGAAGGCGACUACCUGGCCUGUUCUUGACGCUGAGGCGCGAAAGCUAGGGGAGCAAACGGG